AUUGAACGCUGGCGGCAUGCUUUACACAUGCAAGUCGAACGGUAACAGGCCUUCGGGUGCUGACGAGUGGCGAACGGGUGAGUAAUGCAUCGGAACGUGCCCAGAGGUGGGGGAUAACGCAGCGAAAGCUGUGCUAAUACCGCAUGUGAUCUGAGGAUGAAAGCGGGGGACCAAGCAGCAAUGUUUGGCCUCGCGCCUCUGGAGCGGCCGAUGUCAGAUUAGGUAGUUGGUGGGGUAAAGGCCUACCAAGCCGACGAUCUGUAGCUGGUCUGAGAGGACGACCAGCCACACUGGGACUGAGACACGGCCCAGACUCCUACGGGAGGCAGCAGUGGGGAAUUUUGGACAAUGGGCGCAAGCCUGAUCCAGCAAUGCCGCGUGCGGGAAGAAGGCCUUCGGGUUGUAAACCGCCUUUGUACGGAACGAAAAGGCUCUGGCUAAUACCUGGGGCUGAUGACGGUACCGUAAGAAUAAGCACCGGCUAACUACGUG
RNAcentral lists this ribosomal RNA (492 nucleotides) under uncultured bacterium. RNAcentral's name for it is "partial 16S ribosomal RNA". It matches the Rfam family "Bacterial small subunit ribosomal RNA", at positions 30 to 507 of the family's 1533-position model. The record is from RNAcentral.